Molecule: transfer RNA, 71 nt
Filed under: Sphaerodactylus townsendi
Lineage: Eukaryota; Metazoa; Chordata; Lepidosauria; Squamata; Sphaerodactylidae
Description: tRNA-Asn
Source: RNAcentral
GGGGGUGGCUCAGUGGCAGAGUCUCUGCUUGUUGUGCAGAAGGUCCCAGGUUCAAUUUUCAGCCUUCCCCU